CGUAAACAACCUGCCUUCAGGAUGGGGACAACAGACGGAAACGACUGCUAAUACCGAAUAAGUUCCAAGAGCCGCAUGGCCCAUGGAAGAAAAGGUGGCCUCUACCUGUAAGCUAUCGCCUGAAGAGGGGUUUGCGUCUGAUUAGCUGGUUGGAGGGGGUAACGGCCCACCAAGGCGACGAUCAGUAGCCGGUCUGAGAGGAUGAACGGCCACACUGGAACUGAGACACGGUCCAGACUCCUACGGGAGGCAGCAUG
This 257-nucleotide ribosomal RNA is filed under the name uncultured bacterium. Its description in RNAcentral is "partial 16S ribosomal RNA". It matches the Rfam family "Bacterial small subunit ribosomal RNA", at positions 116 to 353 of the family's 1533-position model. The record is from RNAcentral.